ACAGUCCAAAAGCCGCGAAGCUCGCACCGAACAGGACGCUUUGAUGCAUCUUUCCUCGCGAGCGGGCUAAGGUCUGAGUAUUUCCUCCGCGAUUGUCCCUAGCCUGGGACCGGCCGUCACCGGUCGAGAGACGAAUCAGCAAUUCGGGUUGGCCGAUUUCGUGUACUCCCGACGAACCUCGGAAGAGGAAGGGUCAAGAAUCUGGUCAUCGGCCCUUGGAAGUAUCGUCUCGAGGAUGUGAGAUGUCCGCGUCAUGUCCUCGUCUCUGGUCACCGUGGCGUGGUGCCCUCUGGGGCGCCGCGCGCGAGUAUUGACGAUGGCACGACGAUCACGGGUCCCACCGUGCCCCUCGAAUGACACGGUGACAGGGCGGGGCGGGCUUUUUCAGGCAGGGGUUGCCCCAGCUGGGGGCUCUGGCGCGUUUGGAUGUCUUCACUUCAGUGCACUUCGCGGCUCGCAGUUUCUGCGAAACUCGAUUCAGACUACUCUUGGACUGU
This 497-nucleotide RNase P RNA is filed under the name Laetiporus sulphureus 93-53. RNAcentral describes it as "Nuclear RNase P". It matches the Rfam family "Nuclear RNase P". Rfam says of the family: Ribonuclease P (RNase P) is a ubiquitous endoribonuclease, found in archaea, bacteria and eukarya as well as chloroplasts and mitochondria. Its best characterised activity is the generation of mature 5'-ends of tRNAs by cleaving the 5'-leader elements of precursor-tRNAs. The record is from Rfam by way of RNAcentral. Lineage: Eukaryota; Fungi; Basidiomycota; Agaricomycetes; Polyporales; Laetiporaceae.